RNAcentral lists this transfer RNA (72 nucleotides) under Rhizoctonia solani AG-1 IA. RNAcentral's name for it is "tRNA-His (GTG) (tRNA-His-GTG-2-1, tRNA-His-GTG-2-2)". It matches the Rfam family "tRNA". From Rfam's summary of the family: Transfer RNA (tRNA) molecules are approximately 80 nucleotides in length. Their secondary structure includes four short double-helical elements and three loops (D, anti-codon, and T loops). Further hydrogen bonds mediate the characteristic L-shaped molecular structure. tRNAs have two regions of fundamental functional importance: the anti-codon, which is responsible for specific mRNA codon recognition, and the 3' end, to which the tRNAs corresponding amino acid is attached (by aminoacyl-tRNA synthetases). tRNAs cope with the degeneracy of the genetic code in two manners: having more than one tRNA (with a specific anti-codon) for a particular amino acid; and 'wobble' base-pairing, i.e. permitting non-standard base-pairing at the 3rd anti-codon position. RNAcentral also lists the same sequence under 1 other name. The record is from RNAcentral. Lineage: Eukaryota; Fungi; Basidiomycota; Agaricomycetes; Cantharellales; Ceratobasidiaceae.
GCUCCUAUGGUCUAGUGGUUAUGACGCUUCGUUGUGGCCGAAGCAGCCUGUGUUCGAUUCACGGUGGGGGCA